GACGGAGGGUGCAAGCGUUACUCGGAAUCACUGGGCGUAAAGCGUACGUAGGCGGCUUGUCAAGUUGGAUGUGAAAUCCCACAGCUCAACUGUGGAACUGCGUCCAAAACUGACAAGCUCGAGAACAGUAGGGGACAGUGGAACUCAAGGUGGAGCGGUGAAAUGCGUAGAGAUCUUGAGGAACACCGGUGGCGAAAGCG
RNAcentral lists this ribosomal RNA (200 nucleotides) under uncultured bacterium. Its description in RNAcentral is "partial 16S ribosomal RNA". It matches the Rfam family "Bacterial small subunit ribosomal RNA", at positions 524 to 723 of the family's 1533-position model. The record is from RNAcentral.